This 269-nucleotide long non-coding RNA is filed under the name Mytilus galloprovincialis (Mediterranean mussel). The record is from RNAcentral. Lineage: Eukaryota; Metazoa; Mollusca; Bivalvia; Mytilida; Mytilidae.
GAAGAUAUCAUCGUCUUCGACUUAAAGACAUCUUCGUUAGCCUUAGAUUGUGACAUUUUACAAAUUGCGCCAUCACAUUCACGAAAAAGUUCGCAAUACAGCACUUGCAUUCAACCAAGUAGACCAAUAUCAUCACAUGCAUCAGCUGUUACUGGUUUAACUAGUAAAUGAGACAUAUAUUUUUUUAUAAUGGAGUCCCUGUUCAAAUACUUUUACAAGAAGCUGCAUUUUGUAUGAACAUACUGCACGCUAAUGCACUGCAAACAAAG